This 167-nucleotide ribosomal RNA is filed under the name Vanderhorstia ornatissima (ornate prawn-goby). Its description in RNAcentral is "partial 12S rRNA". Lineage: Eukaryota; Metazoa; Chordata; Actinopteri; Gobiiformes; Gobiidae. The record is from RNAcentral. RNAcentral also lists the same sequence under 2 other names.
CACCGCGGUUAUACGAGAGGCCCAAGUUGACAGAAAUCGGCGUAAAGAGUGGUUAAUAAGUACUAAACUAAAGCCGAACACCUUCAGGACUGUCAUACGCGCCCGAAGGCAGGAAGCCCCCCAACGAAAGUGGCUUUAAAAACCAUGACUCCACGAAAGCUAGGAAA